Molecule: small nuclear RNA, 103 nt
Organism: Ochotona princeps (American pika)
Lineage: Eukaryota; Metazoa; Chordata; Mammalia; Lagomorpha; Ochotonidae
Source: Ensembl
AUCCUUGGUUGGACAACAUAUACCUAAGUUGAGACCAUACAGAGAUUAGCCUGGCCCCUGUGAAAGCAUGACACAUAAGCCAGUAGCCAUGCUUAUAACCUUG